This 446-nucleotide long non-coding RNA is filed under the name Trifolium pratense (red clover). RNAcentral's name for it is "long non-coding RNA (TPRA_LNC005310)". The record is from RNAcentral. Lineage: Eukaryota; Viridiplantae; Streptophyta; Magnoliopsida; Fabales; Fabaceae.
AUGGCAUACAAAUAAAACUAUACACUUACAAGUAAUAUAUAAUAUAUAAUUAUUUUUCAAAUUUAUAUGCUUAUAAGUAAUAACAUUUAUUGUUAAUGCAUUUCAAAACAAAACGAUCUUGACAUUUGUGAUCUGGACAAUCAGCGACAGUAAUGCAGGUAAUAUGAUGACCAUAUCGAUUAAUGACAGGCAAAAGAUCUUUCAUGCCUAAAAUGAAUAAAAUCAUGUUACUAAAAGGGGUGAAAAAAUUUAGUAUAUUAUAAAGAAGAAAAUUGAUAUAGGUGUAAAAAUAGACUUACCGUCAUUGGUACCAAGAAGAAUUAGAAAAUGAAAGAUGAUAAAAGUAUAAACAAAUUUGAGAAUUUUAACCAUAUUUUUUCUCCUUUUGCAUGUAACAUAUAAAAAAAAUAUUUGACCAUUUUAUAAGUUAAACAUCCCAUGCUUUG